This 470-nucleotide ribosomal RNA is filed under the name uncultured Methanomicrobiales archaeon. RNAcentral's name for it is "bacterial SSU rRNA". It matches the Rfam family "Archaeal small subunit ribosomal RNA", at positions 869 to 1338 of the family's 1478-position model. Lineage: Archaea; Methanobacteriati; Methanobacteriota; Methanomicrobia; Methanomicrobiales. The record is from RNAcentral.
CGGGGGAGCACCACAACAGGUGGAGCCUGCGGUUUAAUCGGACUCAACGCCGGGAAACUCACCAGAUAAGACAGCUGAAUGAUAGUCGGGCUGAAGACUCUACUUGACUAGCUGAGAGGAGGUGCAUGGCCGUCGUCAGUUCGUACUGUGAAGCAUCCUGUUAAGUCAGGCAACGAGCGAGACCCACGCCAACAGUUGCCAGCUCGUCCUCCGGGAUGGUGGGGACACUGUUGGGACCGCCUCUGCUAAAGAGGAGGAAGGAAUGGGCAACGGUAGGUCAGCAUGCCCCGAAUUAUCUGGGCUACACGCGGGCUACAAUGGGUGGGACAAUGGGUAUCGACACCGAAAGGUGAAGGCAAUCUCCUAAACCCAUCCGUAGUUCGGAUUGUGGGCUGCAACUCGCCCACAUGAAGCUGGAAUCUGUAGUAAUCGUGUCUCAAAAUGGCACGGUGAAUAUGUCCCUGCUCCUU